Long non-coding RNA from Artibeus jamaicensis (Jamaican fruit-eating bat), 1957 nucleotides. RefSeq lists it as uncharacterized. NCBI's taxonomy places the organism in Eukaryota, Metazoa, Chordata, Mammalia, Chiroptera, Phyllostomidae. The record is from RefSeq and is a predicted model, not a curated record. The transcript has 3 exons.
AUGCGGGGGACGUGCCUCUAGUCAUGCUGCAGACGGUAGGCUCGAGGACCCGGAGCCCUUGUGAGAGUUGAGGACAUGCAAGAGCUAGGAGCGUUAGGUUUGCAGCAUGAUUGACACGGGAGAACUAGGAGCAGGUGGGAUGUGGAAUUGGAGCUGGAGCCCAGGGGGGCGGGCGACUGCUCGCAGCCACCCCUUCCCUCUUACUUUUACAAGCUGAGGCGGGAAGGCUGAGGAACUUCUUGAGGCUCUUUGGUAGUGACACAGGAAGAGCCGAGGAAAAGGCCCGGGAGGGGCCAGUGCGCCUCCGCGGGGCCCUCCUUAGCCCCCUUCCCCCGCCCCCUCCCCUGGCUCCCGGCCUCUCUGGACUGGGGGGCCUGUGCUGGGCAGGCUCUGCUGAGCAGUGGGGCCUGGAAAGAAAGGAAGUUAAGGCGGAGGCGUCUGCUCUGAAGGAAGGAACUGCCACAGUGAUAAGUCCAGACAACUUGCCUUCAUGUGAAAGCUUCCUUCUUGUUAAGAAAGAGCCUCUCGACAACGGACUUACAACCCCCAGAAAAACUCGGGACCCCCAGGGUGCCACCUACCUCUCCAUCAAGAUGAUCUAACAGAACGCACAUGCUGCACAUCAGGAUGUCUGGGAUGCGCUCUGCUAGUUCUGUCAAGAAGGCUGCAAAGCCCUUCGCCCCAGCAGUGUCCCGACUCAGCUCCAAGGGGCACUUCUGUCCAAUCUCUCUGUGCAGGGAGAAAACACAGCUGAGCGAGAUAAUUCAGUUCCCAGCGAGAGAAGGUCAGACUGGUAUCUAAUAGCUGAAGGAACCCAGAGCUACACAGAGAAUAUACUGUAUUUCCAAUCUUUCUUUAUCCUCUCCCUGAGAGAAAUGAGAAGAAUUAGAAACUCAGAAGUGGAUGAAUUACCUUACAACCUCUCCCACUAUGCUCUUCAUUCCAUAAUCAGUCGCCCAUAGACUCACAGCCGCCACCAGCACAGGCGCUAGGUGUUCAAAGUGCUGCAGCAUCUGGAUGAUCUUCACAGUGGCACCUGUGGAAGUUCUGAACAUGAGACAUUAUGGGCAAAAUGAAAACGUCGGGGCAAAGCGAAGGACUGACUUACUGAGCAUAUGGUUAUAACGUGUCAAGGCUACACCAAGCAGGUGUGUUAUGGCUUCCCGGGUAGGACGGUUCUUCUGGUGACUGAUGGUGGGGUUCUCCAGAAGGCGGUAACAGCACCCAGUAACCAAACUGAGAAAAGAAGAAAGUGAGAUGCUGAAAUCAGUUGUCUGGACUCAGUCACUCUGGGUCGCUGCCUCACUCAUUCUAUUUCUACUGCCCCCAAAGCAACAGUCUUCUAGUUUUCUUCAUUUUAUCUACCACCUUCUAUACCACGUUGUUUUGCUGACCUCAGACAGGUCCUGAAGACCACACUUGGAGGACAAAGACUCUGGAAUGAUCUGCACUACUUCCCACUGGACCCCUAGCUUACUCCACACUCCAACCAUAUUGGCAUUUUCCAUCUUAGGGCCUCGGCACUGGCUGCUCUGUCUGCUCGGUAUGUCCUUCCCUGAGAUCUACAUAGGUCGCUCCCUCAUUUUUAAGGUCUCUGCUCAAAUGUCACCUAUCAGCAAGCUUUCUCUGAUCAUCCAACAUAAAUUGCCAGAACCUACCUUGAUACACUGUACAUUUUUCAUCUUGUUUUAUUUUUCUUGCUGACACUUACAACAACUCCAUAUUUAUUUAUUACUUGUUGAAAGCCUUGAGAGCACUUUGUCAUCUUGUCUGUUUUGUUUGCUGUUGUGUUGCCAGGGCCUAGAACAGCGCCUGGCACAUAGCUUCAUCAGCAUACACUUGUUGAACAAAUUAAAUGAUUUGAUCUUACAUAUUUAUAGAACUUGUAUAUAGUACUUUAAACACCAAAAGCAAUGCAGCUGUUAUAAAAAAAACGACUCUUAAACAGAGUGAUCAU